This 162-nucleotide unclassified non-coding RNA is filed under the name uncultured Basidiomycota. RNAcentral describes it as "sequence contains ITS1". Lineage: Eukaryota; Fungi; Basidiomycota. The record is from RNAcentral.
AAGAUUCUGGCAUUCGUGCCUAACCUCUUCAGCUGUGCGCUUCGGCUGCACGCUGUUGAAUAUACCACACCUGUGCACUUCUUCGGUUGCAGUCCGUUACUUGGAUUGCUUCCGCCUUUUACAUUCAACUACAAGUCUUGUAUGUCAAAUACUAUAAAGUAA